Molecule: ribosomal RNA, 429 nt
Filed under: bacterium
Lineage: Bacteria
Description: partial 16S ribosomal RNA
Rfam family: Bacterial small subunit ribosomal RNA
Source: RNAcentral
UGGGGAAUAUUGGACAAUGGGCGAAAGCCUGAUCCAACCAUGCCGCGUGUGUGAAGAAGGUCUUCGGAUUGUAAAGCACUUUAAGUUGGGAGGAAGGGCAGUAAGCGAAUACCUUGCUGUUUUGACGUUACAGACAGAAUAAGCACCGGCUAACUCUGUGCCAGCAGCCGCGGUAAUACAGAGGGUGCAAGCGUUAAUCGGAAUUACUGGGCGUAAAGCGCGCGUAGGUGGUUCGUUAAGUUGGAUGUGAAAGCCCCGGGCUCAACCUGGGAACUGCAUCCAAAACUGGCGAGCUAGAGUAGGGCAGAGGGUGGUGGAAUUUCCUGUGUAGCGGUGAAAUGCGUAGAUAUAGGAAGGAACACCAGUGGCGAAGGCGACCACCUGGGCUCAUACUGACACUGAGGUGCGAAAGCGUGGGGAGCAAACAGG